This 152-nucleotide non-coding RNA is filed under the name Bifidobacterium angulatum. RNAcentral describes it as "FMN sequence". It matches the Rfam family "FMN riboswitch aptamer (RFN element)". From Rfam's summary of the family: The RFN element is a highly conserved domain that is found frequently in the 5'-untranslated regions of prokaryotic mRNAs that encode for flavin mononucleotide (FMN) biosynthesis and transport proteins. This element is a metabolite-dependent riboswitch that directly binds FMN in the absence of proteins. Lineage: Bacteria; Bacillati; Actinomycetota; Actinomycetes; Bifidobacteriales; Bifidobacteriaceae. The record is from RNAcentral.
CGUAAGUUUCAGGGAAGGUGAAAUUCCUUACUGGCGGUAAGUCGGCGCCCGGCAUUCAUAACGGAGCGCACGGCAAGCCCGCGACCCGCGCAAGCGGCCGAUUCGGUGCGAUUCCGAAGCCAACGGUACAGUCCGGAUGGAAGAAACGAGGA